CUGCCUUCAUUAAGGAGCACAUCUGGACGCGUCGAGCAGACGGAUGGGCCAGGAGAAGAUUCUCUACAGCCAUGGCGCUAUCAGACUGAUUAUAGAACAUGGCAGAAGGCAUGAAGGACCUUCCAAGGCAUGAAGAACCUUCCAAGAGGUUUUGUGACUGUUCUGUGUUUUCUACCAGACUGCAGUCUCUAUAAGGAGUAAAGUAUGAAGCGUGUCCUGUUUUUGGAAGUCGAGUCAUCACAGAGUCCCGCUUCUCAGACAUGUCAAAUCAUCCAUGUAAUGGCUACUGAGAGUUGGAUGCAUCUGAAGUUCCUGAUUGGAUUAGACACGUAAUAAGUUUGGAUUCGUAUUUGAGGCCAAAAUAUUAUGCUAA
Long non-coding RNA from Ictalurus punctatus (channel catfish), 373 nucleotides. NCBI's taxonomy places the organism in Eukaryota, Metazoa, Chordata, Actinopteri, Siluriformes, Ictaluridae. The record is from Ensembl.